This is a non-coding RNA of Pangasianodon gigas (Mekong giant catfish), 73 nucleotides long. NCBI's taxonomy places the organism in Eukaryota, Metazoa, Chordata, Actinopteri, Siluriformes, Pangasiidae. The record is from the annotation of a GenBank genome assembly.
GGGCCAGUGGUGCAAUGGAUAAUGUGUCUGACUACAGCUCAGAAGAGUCUAGGUUCAGCUCCUGGCUGGCUUU